Molecule: long non-coding RNA, 816 nt
Filed under: Mytilus galloprovincialis (Mediterranean mussel)
Lineage: Eukaryota; Metazoa; Mollusca; Bivalvia; Mytilida; Mytilidae
Source: RNAcentral
UGUCACGGUACUUUUCUAUCCCAAAUUCAUGUAUUUGGUUUUGAUGUUAUAUUGGUUAUUCUCAUUGGAUGUUGUCUAAUGCUUAGUCCGUUGCUGUGUGUGUUAUAUUUUAAUGUUGUGUCGUUGUUCUCCUCUAAUAUUUAAUGCGUUUCCCUCAGUUUUACCUGUUACCCCGAUUUUGUUUUUUGUCCAUAGAUUUAUGAGUUUUGAACAGCGGUAUACUACUGUUGCCUUUAUUUAUAACUAUUUUGAUCUGAGCGUCACUGGUGAGUCUUAUGUAGACAAAACGCGCGUCUGGCGUACUAAAUUAUAAUCCUGGUACCUUUGAUAACUAAUUAUGCAUUUUCAAACAUUAUGUGCAAAUUCGAAAAAGCUCUCAAAAACUUUGUUUUCAUUGAUCAAAACUGGGCCGAAAUGCUUUAAAAGUCCUUUAAAGGGGCACCAAAACAAUAAUUUGACUAAAAUUCUCAUAUUUGAUUUAUAACAUACUAAAACGUAUAUUUAAAUUACAAUAAGUCGGAAAUGAACAGUUAGCACUGCAUGUACUCGAUAAUAUUUAUCAGAAUUUCGUGUAUAUUUUAGUUGCUGCUUAGUUAUAUACAAAAUUUGGGGGGACCAAAUUUUACACUGAAGUAAGGAAUGAUUGCUUUAUUCAGCAGAAAAAGUCAAUCCCUUUUGGCAUGAUAUCUUGGUUAAAAAGUUAAAUGUUGAAAACAAUAUGGAUAUUCUGGACCAGUCAAUAUAGCUAAACCCACACAUCCAAAUGGAUGGCAAGAUGAUUUUAAAGGUGACAUAUAUUGAAAAUUGCAUAAUUUU